Molecule: long non-coding RNA, 1726 nt
Organism: Brassica rapa (field mustard)
Lineage: Eukaryota; Viridiplantae; Streptophyta; Magnoliopsida; Brassicales; Brassicaceae
Source: RefSeq, a predicted model, not a curated record
UAAGAAAAAUAAAUAAUAAGUAAAUAUAUAAUAUAAGAAAUAGAAAACUACAUUAAACAUCUAUCAGAAAAAUGAAUAGUAAAAUAAAUAUUAAUUAAAUAUAUUGAAUAAGAAAUAUAAAUAUUACAUUAAACAUUCAUCGUAAUAUUAGAAUUUGAUAUAAAAGCAAAACAAUUAGAAUAAGUAAAUAUAUAAUAAAAAAAAUAAGUAAAUAUACAAUAUUAGAAUAGGUAAAUAUUCAGAUACAUAACCUAAAAAUAAUUUGUAUUUAAUUCUUUGACAAGUUUUGAAAUUAAGAACACUUUAAUUUGACUAUAGUCAUACUUUAUAUGCAAAAUAUAGUAAAAACAUUUCUAUGAAUUUCAAAACUUGUCAAUUACUUUGGCAAGAAAAUCUUGUCAAUUAUUUGAUAUUUAAGGGAUUUGAUCAUUUUUAUAAGACUAUAAUAAUUUGGUUUUAAUUGUAUUAUAAAUAUAAUUAUCCAUAUAAUUUUAAACUUGGAUCUGAUGACUUUUGAGUUAUUAAUUACACAAAAUCAUGAAGUUUUUAAGCAUAUCCUCAAAUUUGGAUAUAUAUAAUUAAUUUUUGGUUGACAGUAUUUUCACAAUUUCACAUAUAAAUACUUCUUUGAUAAAUUUUUUAUUAUGCAUCUUACUUAAUAAUCUGCAUAUUUCUUCCAAAAAAAAAAUUAUGAUGGAAACUCUAGGAACCGAUACUAAAUAUGGUCAUUGUUGCGUUUGAAUGGAGAAAAACAAAAUAUGUGCCAGAAAAUGAAUUUGCUGCAUAUUUUCUAAAUGAACUGCAAAGCGAUUAUGAAGCUGCUAAUAAAUUGUUUGGCAUAACAAAUAUUAUAUGAAUAAUGAAACUUGCUCCCCAUGAAUAAAAACAUUUGUUAGCAUCAUCAAUACUCAAAGAAUGUGCUGCAAGGACCGAUGAUAAUAUCAAAGGUAGAUAUGGAGUGAUACAGAAGCUGAUGUGGGAAAUCAAAUUACAUGAAGUCUACCUUUCUGAGAUACGGAAGAAGAAAAAAACAAUUAGUUCUACUUUCAAAUGAGUAUAUAUAAUGAAAUUUAUCUAUCUUCAUUUAUCAAAUAAUAAUUAUUUAAUGGUUAAUCAUAUCAAAUGUUAAAAUUUAAAACAUACCAUGAGCACAACGUAAUUGUUGAGAGUUAAUCACUUAAUCGUACAUGUGUUAUAGUGAUCAUAAAAAAGAGACACUUUGAAACCUAAAAAUUAUAUCAAAUGUCAAAAAGCAAUUUUUAAUGGCACUUUCAAAUUGUAAAUAUUUAGCAAUUUUCUCAUUUGGCUAUUGAAAAUUUUAAACUUUUUUUCAUUGAACAACCAAUUCAGUAGUUAAUAAUUUCUUCUAUUAUACAUUUUGUAAUGAUAAUACAAAUAUGUGAGUUGAAAAUAUUUUUAUGUAUACAAGAUUGACAAAUAAAAAUCUAUACUAAUAAAAAAAACAUUUUGAGGCUACAUGAGAUGUCCACAUAGCGAAAUAAUUUCUCCCGAAAAAUGCCAAGUGGCUUUAUUACUAAAAAAUAAAAAACUGAAUAAUAAGUAUAUAUAAAAUAUAAGAAAAUAUAAAUAAUAAGUAAUAUACAUACAAGAAAAAAUAAGUAAAUAUACAAUAUAAGAAAUAGAAAAACUAAAUUAAACAUCUAUAUGAAAAUAUAUAGUUAAAUAAAUAAUAAGUAAAUAUACAACAUCAAAAAAAAUUAUUAUA